GAUGAACGCUGGCGGCGUGCCUAAUACAUGCAAGUCGAGCCAACAGAUGAGGAGCUUGCUCCUCUGACGUUAGCGGCGGACGGGUGAGUAACACGUGGAUAACCUACCUAUAAGACUGGGAUAACUACGGGAAACCGGAGCUAAUACCGGAUAAUAUAUUGAACCGCAUGGUUCAAUAGUGAAAGACGGUUUUGCUGUCACUUAUAGAUGGAUCCGCGCCGCAUUAGCUAGUUGGUAAGGUAACGGCUUACCAAGGCAACGAUGCGUAGCCGACCUGAGAGGGUGAUCGGCCACACUGGAACUGAGACACGGUCCAGACUCCUACGGGAGGCAGCAGUAGGGAAUCUUCCGCAAUGGGCGAAAGCCUGACGGAGCAACGCCGCGUGAGUGAUGAAGGUCUUCGGAUCGUAAAACUCUGUUAUUAGGGAAGAACAAAUGUGUAAGUAACUAUGCACGUCUUGACGGUACCUAAUCAGAAAGCCACGGCUAACUACGUG
RNAcentral lists this ribosomal RNA (497 nucleotides) under uncultured bacterium. RNAcentral's name for it is "partial 16S ribosomal RNA". It matches the Rfam family "Bacterial small subunit ribosomal RNA", at positions 28 to 507 of the family's 1533-position model. The record is from RNAcentral.